Molecule: long non-coding RNA, 266 nt
Filed under: Ursus americanus (American black bear)
Lineage: Eukaryota; Metazoa; Chordata; Mammalia; Carnivora; Ursidae
Description: lncRNA (ENSUAMG00000004627.1)
Source: RNAcentral
CGGAAGAGCAGUUUCACUGGCAAUCACAAGAUGGUCAAAAAGACAUCGAAGACGAACUUACAACGGGUCUUGAACUGGUGGACUCCUGUAUUAGAUCACUGCAGGAAUCAGGAAUACUUGACCCACAGGAUUAUUCAACAGGUGAAAGGCCCAGCCUGCUCUCCCAGAGUGCACUUCAGCUCAAUUCCAAACCUGAAGGGUCCUUCCAGUAUCCGGCCAGCUACCAUAGCAACCAGACCCUGGCCCUGAGUGAGACAGCCCCUUCG